GUCUGGUGCCAGCAGCCGCGGUAAUUCCAGCUCCAAUAGCGUAUAUUAAAGUUGUUGCAGUUAAAAAGCUCGUAGUUGAAUUUUGGACCUGGCUGGGUGGUCUUGCCGAAAGGUGAGCACUGCUCCGGUCGGGUCUUUCCUUCUGGGGAACCAGUGUGCUCUUAAUUGGGUGCGCUGGGGAUCCAGGACUUUUAUUUUGAAAAAAUUAGAGUGUUUAAAGCAGGCCUACGCUUGAAUACAUUAGCAUGGAAUAAUAGAAUAGGACUUUGGUUCUAUUUUGUUGGUUUCUAGGACCGAAGUAAUGAUUAAUAGAGAUAGUUGGGGGCAUUAGUAUUUAAUUGUCAGAGGUGAAAUUCUUAGAUUUAUGAAAGACUAACUUCUGCGAAAGCAUUUGCCAAGGAUGUUUUCAUUAAUCAAGAACGAAAGUUAGGGGAUCGAAGACGAUCAGAUACCGUCGUAGUCUUAACCAUAAACUAUGCCGACUAGGGAUCGGACGACGUUAAUAUAGUGACUCGUUCGGCGCCUUUACGGGAAA
Molecule: ribosomal RNA, 535 nt
Filed under: uncultured Spizellomycetales
Lineage: Eukaryota; Fungi; Chytridiomycota; Chytridiomycetes; Spizellomycetales
Also listed under: 1 other name
Description: SSU rRNA
Rfam family: Eukaryotic small subunit ribosomal RNA
Source: RNAcentral